RNAcentral lists this ribosomal RNA (465 nucleotides) under uncultured bacterium. RNAcentral's name for it is "partial 16S ribosomal RNA". It matches the Rfam family "Bacterial small subunit ribosomal RNA", at positions 28 to 506 of the family's 1533-position model. The record is from RNAcentral.
GACGAACGCUGGCGGCGUGCUUAACACAUGCGAGUCGAACGGAAAGGCCUCUUUCGGGGGGUACUCGAGUGGCGAACGGGUGAGUAACACGUGAGUAACCUGCCCUUGACUUUGGGAUAACUUCAGGAAACUGGGGCUAAUACCGGAUAGGAGCUCCUGCUGCAUGGUGGGGGUUGGAAAGUUUCGGCGGUUGGGGAUGGACUCGCGGCUUAUCAGCUUGUUGGUGGGGUAGUGGCUUACCAAGGCUUUGACGGGUAGCCGGCCUGAGAGGGUGACCGGCCACAUUGGGACUGAGAUACGGCCCAGACUCCUACGGGAGGCAGCAGUGGGGAAUAUUGCACAAUGGGCGGAAGCCUGAUGCAGCAACGCCGCGUGCGGGAUGACGGCCUUCGGGUGGUAAACCGCUUUCGCCUGUGACGAAGCGUGAGUGACGGGAAUGGGUAAAGAAGCACCGGCUAACUACGU